UGGGGAAUAUUGGACAAUGGGCGCAAGCCUGAUCCAGCAAUGCCGCGUGUGUGAAGAAGGCCUGCGGGUUGUAAAGCACUUUAAGCAGGAAAGAAGGUGUAAGGGUUAAUACCCCUUGCAAUUGACGUUACCUGCAGAAUAAGCACCGGCUAACUCCGUGCCAGCAGCCGCGGUAAUACGGAGGGUGCGAGCGUUAAUCGGAAUUACUGGGCGUAAAGCGCGCGUAGGCGGUUGACUAAGUCUGCUGUGAAAGCCCCGGGCUUAACCUGGGAACUGCAGUGGAUACUGGUUGGCUAGAGUAUGGUAGAGGGUAGUGGAAUUUCCGGUGUAGCAGUGAAAUGCGUAGAGAUCGGAAGGAACACCAGUGGCGAAGGCGGCUAUCUGGACCAAUACUGACGCUGAGGUGCGAAAGCGUGGGGAGCAAACA
RNAcentral lists this ribosomal RNA (427 nucleotides) under uncultured Methylococcus sp. Its description in RNAcentral is "partial 16S ribosomal RNA". It matches the Rfam family "Bacterial small subunit ribosomal RNA", at positions 355 to 774 of the family's 1533-position model. The record is from RNAcentral. Lineage: Bacteria; Pseudomonadati; Pseudomonadota; Gammaproteobacteria; Methylococcales; Methylococcaceae.